This 58-nucleotide transfer RNA is filed under the name Campylobacter jejuni subsp. jejuni 327. RNAcentral's name for it is "tRNA-Asp". It matches the Rfam family "tRNA", at positions 8 to 62 of the family's 71-position model. From Rfam's summary of the family: Transfer RNA (tRNA) molecules are approximately 80 nucleotides in length. Their secondary structure includes four short double-helical elements and three loops (D, anti-codon, and T loops). The record is from RNAcentral. Lineage: Bacteria; Pseudomonadati; Campylobacterota; Epsilonproteobacteria; Campylobacterales; Campylobacteraceae.
UAGUUCAGCUGGUUAGAAUGCCGCCCUGUCACGGCGGAGGUCGCGGGUUCGAGCCCCG